This is a long non-coding RNA of Ananas comosus (pineapple), 477 nucleotides long. RefSeq lists it as uncharacterized. NCBI's taxonomy places the organism in Eukaryota, Viridiplantae, Streptophyta, Magnoliopsida, Poales, Bromeliaceae. The transcript is spliced from 5 exons. The record is from RefSeq and is a predicted model, not a curated record.
ACCCCAGGAGCUCUGUGGAUGUUGCUGGAGUGCAGAGGAGUGUUCUACCAUCUCUCUCUCUCUCUCUCUCUAGGGUUUUUCUCUCUCUACAUCGAAUUCGCCGAUUUCGCUCGUUUUCGUCGCCGCGCGCGUUCUUCGCUGGUUGCGAGCGUCGCAGCACCUUUGUGCACGUGCAAGAGAGCGUUUUGAAGGGAUUUUUGCAGCCCUGGACCAGUAAGGAGCUGGUUGCCAGCUUGAGAAGCAGGUCUUUGUGCCUUUUUGAGCUGAACUUGCACUCUUGGAAGCUGGUUUGGAAGCUGCUCUAACCAAGGCAAGAUCGCGAUCGAGCCUUGGAUCGUCUUCGACUGACUUGUGAGGACUCUUGGAGGUUACACUUGAGGAUUGGAGCCUUGUGGAGCUGAUCCUUGGGACUCCUUUGGACUGUUUGGAGCCUUGAACUAGAGCCUGUUACAGGAGAGGCUAGGGAUCGUGGCAAGG